GUGCUCGCUUUGGCAGCAUAUAUACUAAAAUUGGAACGAUACAGAGAAGAUUAGCAUGGCCCUUGUGCAAGGAUGACACACAAAUUUGUGAAGCGUUCCAUAUUUUU
Molecule: small nuclear RNA, 107 nt
Filed under: Erinaceus europaeus (western European hedgehog)
Lineage: Eukaryota; Metazoa; Chordata; Mammalia; Eulipotyphla; Erinaceidae
Source: RNAcentral